This 354-nucleotide ribosomal RNA is filed under the name uncultured bacterium. Its description in RNAcentral is "bacterial SSU rRNA". It matches the Rfam family "Bacterial small subunit ribosomal RNA", at positions 28 to 391 of the family's 1533-position model. The record is from RNAcentral.
GAUGAACGCUAGCGGCAGGCUUAAUACAUGCAAGUCGAACGAACAGCAAUGUUAGUGGCGCACGGGUGCGUAACGCGUAUGCAACUUGCCUUUAACUGGGGGGAGUAACGUUUCGAAAGAGGCGCUAAUACCGCAUAAUACAGUGAAGACACAUGUUUUUAUUUGUUAAAGCUCCGGCGGUUAAAGAUGGGCAUGCGUAGGAUUAGCUAGUUGGUAAGGUAACGGCUUACCAAGGCGACGAUCCUUAGGGGUUCUGAGAGGAAGGUCCCCCACCAUGGUACUGAGAUACGGACCAGACUCCUACGGGAGGCAGCAGUAGGGAAGUAUUGGUCAAUGGGCGCAAGCCUGAACCAG